CCACAUUUUGAAAUAACAAAAUUUCCCGUGAACCGGAAAUCCCACGUUUCAGCCAGCUCUAACAAAGAUGCAAGAGAGAGGCCUGAACGUGCGGUCAAGUGCACCCGAGAGGUUUGGAAACCAGAAGUCAAACAAAAGACCCCAAAUGUACAAUUAUUUUGCAGGUCCCGUCAGCCCAGGGAGUGCCACUGUUGUCAGUGAAGCGCAGCGGAAACUGUCCAUCUGUCUGAAUUAAACAGCGCGGACGUGCUGAUCCAUGGAGGGCUAGAUUCUGCAUCUCCAGCCUCCUGGUUGAGCUGGUCCAGUCUCAGCUGCCAUGUCAGUCCUUGGUGGUCCCAUCCCUCCCUGAGCUGGCUGCAAAAUGAAGAUAAGCGCUGGACCGGGAGCCAUAUAAUAAUAAUACUUCGUGCUAGAGUGGGUCAGAAAUGGGUGUCCCUCCCGCACCCCCACGACAGGAAAAUUUAGACUUUUUGUUGAAACAUCAAAAACCGCAAAAGAGAAUGUGGCUGAAAACUGCUAAAAAAAAAAAAAAUGAGGGGGAGAAAUAGGGUUUUGUGUUCAUUUUUCCAACCAACCAAAUAAAUAAAUCCACAUUUUUUUCUGUAAAAAGAAGAACAGGAGGACUUGUGGCACCUUAGAGACUAACAAAUUUAUUAGAGCAUAAGAAUUUUUUUCUGUAGAGACUUCCAUUUAGUCAAAAACCCAAUUUCCCAUCCAAAGACGUUCCAGCUGAAAACUUUCACCCACCCCUGCACAGCUCUUACAAAUCACCUUUUAUCCCUGGAUCUCGGAGUGCUGACUCUGAGAAUUAGUUUGCCCAGUCCAAUGCAUCCUAUGCGUCUUCAUUCCUAUGCUGUUCAAUCCAUGAGUAAAUCUGUUUAUUUGUGAUUAUAUUUGCAUUCCAGUAGGAGUUAGAGGCCCCAGCCUCACGUACUAGGUGUUGCACACAGGUAAUCCCUCCUCUGUUUGCUUUUUCUGCUCUCUGUUAAUGUCCGUCUUCAUUUGACCCUGCAAGUCAGUGGAAGUGAAUAAGCCACAGGAUUGACUACAUGGUGUCAGUUUACUCAUGGAUAAAACUGAACUGAGGCUCUGAACUGAACCUGCGUUCUAAUCCUAGCUCUGACUUUAGGAAAGUCACUUCACCUCCCUGGUCCUCAGUUUCCUCAUCUUUAAAAUCAGGUAAUGAUUCUGCUCUCCUUUGUAAAGUGCUUUGAGAUC
Molecule: non-coding RNA, 1218 nt
Organism: Chrysemys picta bellii (western painted turtle)
Lineage: Eukaryota; Metazoa; Chordata; Testudines; Emydidae
Source: RefSeq, a predicted model, not a curated record